UCUCACCGGCGGCAGGUACGCGCCGACCGCGCUCCAUCCCGCCCGUGGCUACGGUUAAUGCUGGUGCUAUCAGCGUUCAUCGAGCUGCGAGUCCUUGGAGGAAAUUCGUCCCGUAGAACUUGGACCCUUGAAUACCGUGUGAAUACCACCUUGUCUGUAGCCUCUGUUGCCAUGAAAGCAGUCACUUCCACUACAGUGCUUGUGUUACGGAUCUCUAGCGACAAUUUUGAAAUACCAGUUUAAAAGGAAGGGCUUUUGUUGACAUCUGUUUUGUCUUACACGCACAGUGCCACAGAGCCGUGGGUCCUGCAGACCUGCAGAAACAGCGUCACUCGCACAAGCCAUCCUUCUGCACUCACAGAGCAUCACACAGCUCCUGGCUCCCCAGAGGCCGAAAGCCUGCCCAUAGUUCCCAUCACCUCGAGCGACACAGAACGGAUCUGUGGCUGUACAGAGGUGCUGCCCCAUCUCUCAUGUCAGAACAAAACCAGAGGCAGACUGUCAUGUGCCCCUUGCGCUCCUGCCUGAUGUGCUGGAUGCCUCAACCAGGCACCUCAUCUGCUCCUUUGCACACCCAAGAGAGGGGCAGGAGACGCCUUCAGACGGUUUAUGCUGGGAAGAUGGGGAUGGGAUAUCCCACCCAUGCCCCUUCCCUGAAUCCCUUUGUGCUUUCAUCCCACGAACAGCUUCCCCUUGCCCAUGCUGGCCUUGUCCCCGCUCAGGUACCAGUUUCCCCCUUCCACCGACAUACCUGCUCGCUGGGGAUGCAGCCUGGCCACGGCAGCAUUGGAGUGUUUCAUUUCCACACCCUGCUCUUCCUCCUUAUUUCCCCUUCUCACCAGUCUGGGACAGACUGCAGUUCUCCAGUUCUGUCUCUCCAGCACUGGGGAGGCAUUGGAGGAGACCUGCAAUUCCUUGUCCCGACGGCUUUUAUUACACCUAGCCCUUUCCUCAGGAAGGAGAUAUCCCAUGAACCGCAGUGGAAAAGCCAAAGGAGCACAAAGGGUGUUGAGUUCAGGGUUUGAACAAGCUGCAGCCCACUCAUGGAUUUAACUCAAAAUUUUGACAAUGGAACAAAAACAUCAUUGCAACGAGACAGCUGUUUUUACUAUCAAAAUCUCUCAGAUCAGUUUGACUGCAAAGUGUGCUCCUACAAUCCAAAGGAGACAAAGCUCCCAGCAUCAGUUUGGAGCUGGCAGGCUUCCUAGCAUGAGCUACCUCCCGCCAGCCUAGAAAAACCAAAGCUCUUUCAGUUGUUAUUCCCCAUCAGUUCUCGACACUAACCCCCUGAUUUCCCCAUGGAUUAUCUGCAGUUCUGAGUUUACGCUGCUCUCACAUUAAACUCUGAGUAAUCACUGGCUGGGGGGGACUUCCUUGCUGCCUUUCUCACCUGUAAUUGUGGUUCUGGUGAGGAGUCUCUGAAGUACGAGAAAGUCCUUGGAUCCAUCUUGAAAAUAAAUCUUUUCCUUCCUCCCCCUGCCGUGCCCAAAAGCCUGAUUGCCACAUUAGCUCCUUUUGAAGCCGGUUUUAACAAGUGAAUUCAUAUCUAAAAAUGCCUUGCUUGCAAAAUUCUUCCAACCCCUGAUUUCACAACAUAUUUGAAUAUAUGCUUAGUUUUAUGCAUGUGAAUAGGCCUACAACAAUCAAUACAAUUAUUUACCUAAGUGCUUAAAGUCAGGCAGGUAUUUAAGAAUUAGUAUUGUUUGUGGUAAUGCCACGGCAAGCCAGGCAGGGACCAGGACCUCAUUGUUUGUUCAGCACCCUGCACACAAAAAGACACUCCUUGUCCCUUUCAGUAUAAGUAAUUUUUGUGAGUUGUGAGUAACUUGUGAAUCAGUGCCAGAAACACCUUUCUUGAGCUGGGAGCAGCAGAUGCCAAUAUAUUCCUGAGGGAAGGGGCCCAGGAGCCAAGUGUGGCUGCAGCACGGGCAGCGAUGGGUGCCAGCAACGGGGCCCAGACGUGAGGAGCAAAGGAUCCGUCCAGGGAGCCCACUCAGGACCAAAGGAAACAGUUCUGUCUCAGAGGAUCCCCCAGCUGGUACUACUUGUGGAUGAUGCCCCAUCUGCUUUUGCUGCUGCUGAAGAC
Molecule: long non-coding RNA, 2086 nt
Organism: Cyanistes caeruleus (blue tit)
Lineage: Eukaryota; Metazoa; Chordata; Aves; Passeriformes; Paridae
Source: RefSeq, a predicted model, not a curated record